Molecule: unclassified non-coding RNA, 263 nt
Filed under: plant metagenome
Description: partial contains small subunit ribosomal RNA, internal transcribed spacer 1, and 5.8S ribosomal RNA
Source: RNAcentral
UUUCCGUAGGUGAACCUGCGGAAGGAUCAUUAUUGUAUAACCGAGGGGCGAGGGCUGUCGCUGACCCGACAGGUCGUGCACGCCCGAGUGCCCUCACACACAUCCAUCUCACCCCUAUGUGCACCACCGCGUGGGUCCCCCUUUGGCUUGUUCGGAGGGGGGCUUACGUUUUCACACAAACUUUGUAUGCAGUGUAGAAUGUAUUUUUUGUUUUUGCGAUCACGCAAUCAAUACAACUUUCAACAACGGAUCUCUUGGCUCUC